Molecule: long non-coding RNA, 1089 nt
Filed under: Musa acuminata (dwarf banana)
Lineage: Eukaryota; Viridiplantae; Streptophyta; Magnoliopsida; Zingiberales; Musaceae
Description: long non-coding RNA (MACU_LNC006929)
Source: RNAcentral
GGCGGCGGCGAGCUUCAGGUAAAGGGGCGACUGCUGGAGACCUGCGAGAUCGACCAGAGGAGGGAGCUCGCACUCUCUGCUCUCCUCCUUCCUCUUACGCGAACAAGAAGAGGGGUUGUCUCUUCGUUCUUCUGCAAGAAGGGAAGAGAUCUGCAAGAAGAACGAACAGAAGAGGAGAAAGGCCGUUGGGAGAAUUCUGUUCCUCUUGCGCGAAAUCGAAGGAGGGAGAUCCCUCUUUCCUCUCCGUCGGCGAAGGGAGGAAGUGGACGGUCAUCAAUUCCGCUAUCUGGUCUCCUUCUUCUUCUUCUUUGCAGAAGGGAACGGAACCCUAUCGUCUCUGCGGUCGGCGUUCUUCUUGCAUUGUGAAAACAGAGGAGGGCGAAGACGAGAAAAGGGGCUGAGGUUUCUGCUCCAAAGGAGCGAUUGACCAGCUGUGCUGCCAAGGAAAGAAAGCGGCGCCUUGGUUCUUCCUCGUAGAAGGGAACAGAAGAAAGAGGGGGAAACGGAACCUGUUCUGCUCUCUUCUUUCAGCGAGAUCGAAGAAGGUGGGAGAUCUACUCUGUUUCUCUUGAACAGAGGAGGGGUCUCCUUCUUCCUCUUCUAAUCGGGAAAAGGAGCCCGAACAGAGGAGAUCUGCUCUUCCAGCGAGAUCUGAGAAGGAAGAAGAGAGGUUCUCUGCACCGCCCCCUUUCACCUGCUUCUCAUCGGGGAAAAGGGGCUCGGAGGCUGAUUCCUUCUAGCAGAGGUGAGGGACACUCUGCUCUUUCAAGAUCGAGAUCGGUUCUUGAAACUGAAACGGGAACAGAGUGGGAGAAUUCUGAUCUUCGCAGAAAGGAAUGGAAUAGAGGAAAAAUUUCAGUUCUUCUUUCCUCUCUGAUUGGUAGCAACGGGAAGGCUGAAAUUGAACCUUUCUCUCCUGCUCUGCUCGGUGAAACAUAGUUCCUUACCGGGGUGGCAGUUGCAUAAAGGAGAAAAAAAAAAAACGGCCGAGACAUGGCAGCGAUGGUCCCUGGGUCUGGUGACGGUGGCGAGAGGGUAGAUUCGACGACGAGGCUCCCUUCUCAAGUUGCUCGUCCAAUACCUUCUUUU